ACGACCGGCGCACGGGUGCGUAACGCGUAUGCAACCUACCUUUUACUGGGGGAUAGCCCGGAGAAAUUCGGAUUAACACCGCAUAACAUGUUGAAACGGCAUCGUUUUAAUAUUAAAUAUUUAUAGGUAAAAGAUGGGCAUGCGUCCAAUUAGCUAGUUGGUAGUGUAACGGACUACCAAGGCUAUGAUUGGUAGGGGUUCUGAGAGGAAGGUCCCCCACACUGGUACUGAGAUACGGACCAG
Molecule: ribosomal RNA, 243 nt
Filed under: uncultured bacterium
Lineage: Bacteria
Description: partial 16S ribosomal RNA
Rfam family: Bacterial small subunit ribosomal RNA
Source: RNAcentral